RNAcentral lists this ribosomal RNA (377 nucleotides) under Escherichia coli. Its description in RNAcentral is "bacterial SSU rRNA". It matches the Rfam family "Bacterial small subunit ribosomal RNA", at positions 1 to 374 of the family's 1533-position model. The record is from RNAcentral. Lineage: Bacteria; Pseudomonadati; Pseudomonadota; Gammaproteobacteria; Enterobacterales; Enterobacteriaceae.
AAAUUGAAGAGUUUGAUCAUGGCUCAGAUUGAACGCUGGCGGCAGGCCUAACACAUGCAAGUCGAACGGUAACAGGAAGAAGCUUGCUUCUUUGCUGACGAGUGGCGGACGGGUGAGUAAUGUCUGGGAAACUGCCUGAUGGAGGGGGAUAACUACUGGAAACGGUAGCUAAUACCGCAUAACGUCGCAAGACCAAAGAGGGGGACCUUCGGGCCUCUUGCCAUCGGAUGUGCCCAGAUGGGAUUAGCUAGUAGGUGGGGUAACGGCUCACCUAGGCGACGAUCCCUAGCUGGUCUGAGAGGAUGACCAGCCACACUGGAACUGAGACACGGUCCAGACUCCUACGGGAGGCAGCAGUGGGGAAUAUUGCACAAUGG